AAAAGACUUAGUCCUAACCUUACGGUUGGCUUUUGCUAAAUAUAUACAUGCAAGUAUCCGCGCCCCAGUGUAAAUGCCCUCAACCACCUGUUUCAAAACUCAGGCCUUGAGGAGCGGGUAUCAGGCACACCCAAGUAGUAGCCCAAGACGCCUUGCCAAGCCACGCCCCCACGGGUAUUCAGCAGUAAUUAACAUUAAGCAAUGAGCGCAAGCUUGACUUAGUUAUAGCAACAGCCUAUUAGGGUUGGUAAAUCUUGUGCCAGCCACCGCGGUCACACAAGAAACCCAAGUCAACCGUCCCAUAGCCGGCGUAAAGAGUGGUAAGAUGUCUAUCCUACUUAACUAAGAUCAAAACGCAGCCAAGCUGUCAUAAGCGCAAGCUGCGCCUAAACACACCAUCAAGAUGAUCUUAGGACCAGCGAUUAAUUUGAACCCACGAAAGCCAGGGCCCAAACUGGGAUUAGAUACCCCACUAUGCCUGGCCCUAAAUCUCGAUACUUCUACUAUACCAAAGUAUCCGCCAGAGAACUACGAGCACAAACGCUUAAAACUCUAAGGACUUGGCGGUGCCCUAAACCCACCUAGAGGAGCCUGUUCUAUAAUCGAUAACCCACGAUUAACCCGACCAUCCCUUGCCAAUAACAGCCUACAUACCGCCGUCGCCAGCCCACCUCGAAUGAGAGUACAACAGUGGACAUAACAGCACCCCGCUAACACGACAGGUCAAGGUAUAGCCUAUGGGGUGGGAGUAAUGGGCUACAUUCCCUGUAUCCAGGGCAUACGGAAAGAAGCGUGAAACUACUUCUAGAAGGAGGAUUUAGCAGUAAAGUGGGGUUACAGAACCUACUUAAAGAUGGCCCUAGGGCACGUACAUACCGCCCGUCACCCUCCUCAUAAGCCGCAUCCACAAAUAACUAAUACCAUUCACGUGCCGAAGAUGAGGUAAGUCGUAACAAGGUAAGUGUACCGGAAGGUGUACUUAGAAUA
This 987-nucleotide non-coding RNA is filed under the name Oxyura leucocephala. RNAcentral's name for it is "12S ribosomal RNA". It matches the Rfam family "Bacterial small subunit ribosomal RNA". The record is from RNAcentral. Lineage: Eukaryota; Metazoa; Chordata; Aves; Anseriformes; Anatidae.